UAGGGAAUCUUCCACAAUGGACGCAAGUCUGAUGGAGCAACGGCCGCGUGAGUGAAGAAGGUUUUCGGACCGUAAAGCUCUGUUGUUGGUGAAGAAGGAUAGAGGUAGUAACUGGCCUUUAUUUGACGGUAAUCAACCAGAAAGUCACGGCUAACUACGUGCCAGCAGCCGCGGUAAUACGUAGGUGGCAAGCGUUGUCCGGAUUUAUUGGGCGUAAAGCGAGCGCAGGCGGAAGAAUAAGUCUGAUGUGAAGGCCCUCGGCUUAACCGAGGAAUUGCAUCGGAAACUGUUUUUCUUGAGUGCAGAAGAGGAGAGUAGAACUCCAUGUGUAGCGGUGGAAUGCGUAGAUAUAUGGAAGAAUACCAGUGGCGAAGGCGGCUCUCUGGUCUGCAACUGACGCUGAGGCUCGAAAGCAUGGGUAGCGAACAGGAUUAGAUACCCUGGUAGUCCAUGCCGUAAACGAUGAGUGCUAAGUGUUGGGAGGCUUCCGCCUCUCAGUGCUGCAGCUAACGCAUUAAGCACUCCGCCUGGGGGAGUACGACCGCAAGGUUGAAACUCUAAAUGAAUUGAC
Molecule: ribosomal RNA, 571 nt
Filed under: uncultured bacterium
Lineage: Bacteria
Description: partial 16S ribosomal RNA
Rfam family: Bacterial small subunit ribosomal RNA
Source: RNAcentral